RNAcentral lists this non-coding RNA (162 nucleotides) under Fragilariopsis kerguelensis. The record is from RNAcentral. Lineage: Eukaryota; Bacillariophyta; Bacillariophyceae; Bacillariales; Bacillariaceae.
GAGAGAGAGAAAGAGAGAAUAAAAGAGAUAUCAAUGGUGGAAUGGUGGCGGUAGUGGUGGUAGCAGUUUCCGUUUCCGUUUUCCUCGAAUCGAGCUUCUCUUGAUCCCUUUUUCUUUUUUUCUCUUUUUCAUAUAUAUCUCGUUUCGUUUCGUUCGUGUGAU